This is a non-coding RNA of Rhodnius prolixus, 336 nucleotides long. Lineage: Eukaryota; Metazoa; Arthropoda; Insecta; Hemiptera; Reduviidae. The record is from Rfam.
UUUUACCCGCCUAUCUUCCUGAAACAGUGGAAAGGGCAAAAUAGGCAAAUUUGCCUGAUAACGCAUAAACGCAGCAAUGGCGUAAGACGUAAUGCGUAAUCAAGCAGUUAGCGGGCUGCGGAUGGCAGCUUGACCGGUAAAUGGAAUCAGAUCUGGUGACCCUUUUUCAGAAGCUGUUCCCUCAAUAAAUGUGCUGUUUUCCAUCAGGAAAUACAGGCUACCGAAAUAUGCGCCUCUAUGCAAGCGACAACCGGGAGGUUGACGUCCCUGCGAUAAGCCACGAGGCCAUCGGUGAACCCGGUCAUUCAGCAUCUUUGUCCGUAGCUCUAUCAAUGA